AUGGCAAUGAUGAGAAGUACGCGGGAUCUGCUGAUGGAGGGUUUCGAGGGGCUCGUGCGGGACGGGUCUUUCAAGUGGCCCGUCCCCCGCCGCGGCGUGGACGACGACGACGACCCCUACCGCUCGCCCUCGGCCUGCAAGAGCACGUCCGUUGCCGGCCUCUCCCCCAUGGUCAGCGCCGUCGUCUCUCGCUGCUCCCGAGUUCUCGACGUAUCCAUUGAAGACCUGCAAUAUGACUUUGAUAUGCAAGCAUCUGACUCUAUAAAGCAUCCAAGAAACUAUGCGAGAAACUUUUUGGAAUAUUGUUGCUUUAGGGCACUUGCACAGGUCUCACAAGUUGCGGGAUAUCUUGCUGACAAAAGCCUUCGUCGCCUGACAUUUGAUAUGAUGUUAGCUUGGGAAGUUCCCUCUUCUUCAAGCCAGCUCACUGUUAAGGUUGAGGUUGAAAGCACAGUUAGUUUGGAGGCUUUCUCAAGAAUAGCACCUGCCAUUCCAACAAUCGCUGAUGUAGUAACUUCUUCAAAUCUCUUUGAUGUGCUUUCAUCAACAAGUGGAGGCCGUCUUCCAUUUCCUGUAUAUGAUAAGUAUCUUGCAGGAUUGGACAGAGCAUUUAAGAAAAUGAAGACACAGUCUGAGUCAUCGCUUCUAUCGGGCUUCCGAUCACAGAGAGGAGAAAGGGUUCUAGAAGUCGAUGGAACAUUGACAACUCAACCAGUACUUGAGCAUGUUGGGAUUUCAACAUGGCCAGGAAGAUUGACACUUACGGAUCAUGCCCUUUACUUUGAAGCUGUAAAGGUUGUGACAUUUGAUAAGCCCAAAUCUUAUGAACUUGCAGAAGAUGCAAAGCAGAUUGUUAAACCUGAGCUGACUGGCCCAUGGGGUUCACGGCUGUUUGACAAAGCUGUUAUGUAUAAAUCAACAACCUUAGCUGAACCAGUGAUCAUAGAAUUUCCAGAGCUGGCCGGGCACUCUCGCCGUGAUUACUGGUUGGCAAUUAUAUCUGAAGUUCUUUAUGUUCACAGGUUUGUUAGGAAGUUCGACAUAAGUGGAGUCGAUAAAGAGGAAAUAAUUCUGAAGGCCUCGCUUGGUAUCUUGCGGUUGCAAGCCAUCGAAGAAUUAGCUUUUCCAGCUUCCAAUCGAUACGAAUCUCUUUUGUUGUUCAAUCUUUGUGACAAACUGCCUGGAGGAGAUGUAAUACUUGAAACACUAGCCAGUACUAUAUCAUCAAGAAGUUCAGCUCAUGCCAAUCAACCAGGCAUGAGCAUUGGAAUGCGUUCCAUGUCUGCCUUCGCUGUCCUGUCAAACCUGGGCAUGGUAUCACCAGGUAAUAAUAGUGAGAGACUCUUUGUUGGUGAGAUAGUCGUUGGGGAAAUGAGUUCCUUGCAGAAGGCAGUUACUGAGUCAAUGAACAACUACAAGAAAGUUGAACUGGCCCAAGCCACAGUUGAUGGAGUCAAAGUUGAUGGGCUUGAUACAAACCUGGUAGUGAUGAAGGAAUUGUUAUCACCGGUAAGUGACGUUUGGAGGUUUUUGGUGUCGUUGGCAUUGUGGGACGAGCCUUUGAAGUCAUUCGUCUUUUGCUUGUUAUCUUCUUCUAUUAUCAUAAGGGGAUGGGUAGUCUAUUUUCUUGUUAUGGUCAUACUGUUAUCAGCAACGGUCAUGCUGCUGACAAGACUAACUAGUCAAGGAAAGCCAAUGACUGAGGUCAAGGUGACAUCUCCACCUUCAAUGAACACUAUGGAGCAGCUCUUAGCUGUUCAAAAUGCUAUUUCCAAAGUUGAAGAGCUUGUCCAGGAUGCAAAUAUUGUUCUUCUGAAGAUAAGAGCUCUACUGCUGGCUUUUCCAUCUCAGGCCACAGACAAAGCUAUCCUUGCGUUGUUAUUGAUGGCUCUUGUCCUUGCCUUGCUGCCCACAAGAUUGCUUAUCCUGGCGAUGUUUCUGGAGGUGUUCACCAACCACUCUCCGCUAAGAAGAGCAAGCACAGAGAGAUGCACCAGAAGGUUGAGAGAGUGGUGGUUCAGCAUACCUGCAGCGCCAGUAGUGGUGGAGAAGGAUAACAAAGAAGAUAAGAAGACAAAAUGA
This 2082-nucleotide ribosomal RNA is filed under the name Triticum aestivum (bread wheat). Its description in RNAcentral is "partial small subunit ribosomal RNA". Lineage: Eukaryota; Viridiplantae; Streptophyta; Magnoliopsida; Poales; Poaceae. The record is from RNAcentral.